ACAUCCCGAUGCUAUUCUUAGAGAUAGAAAGUUACUUCGGUACAUCGGUGACAGGUGGUGCAUGGUUGUCGUCAGCUCGUGUCGUGAGAUGUUGGGUUAAGUCCCGCAACGAGCGCAACCCCUAUUGUUAGUUGCCAUCAUUCAGUUGGGCACUCUAGCGAGACUGCCGGUAAUAAACCGGAGGAAGGUGGGGAGUGACGUCAAAUCAUCAUGCCCCUUAUGACCUGGGCUACACACGUGCUACAAUGGUUGGUACAACGAGUUGCGAGUCGGUGACGGCGAGCUAAUCUCUUAAAGCCAAUCUCAGUUCGGAUUGUAGGCUGCAACUCGCCUACAUGAAGUCGGAAUCGCUAGUAAUCGCGGAUCAGCACGCCCGCGGUCGAAUACGUUCCGGGCCUU
Molecule: ribosomal RNA, 399 nt
Filed under: uncultured Streptococcus sp.
Lineage: Bacteria; Bacillati; Bacillota; Bacilli; Lactobacillales; Streptococcaceae
Description: bacterial SSU rRNA
Rfam family: Bacterial small subunit ribosomal RNA
Source: RNAcentral